This is a long non-coding RNA of Limulus polyphemus (Atlantic horseshoe crab), 1655 nucleotides long. RefSeq lists it as uncharacterized. The record is from RefSeq and is a predicted model, not a curated record. NCBI's taxonomy places the organism in Eukaryota, Metazoa, Arthropoda, Merostomata, Xiphosura, Limulidae. The transcript is spliced from 2 exons.
GUGUUAAAUAUUUGCAAAACUAUAUAUACACAUAUGAAAGGCAGAUUAAAAUGUAAUAAUUUUUUCAUAAUAGUCUGUAAGAGGAUGAGAUGGGAGGAAACUGCAGUAAUCACAAAUGCUGGAAAGUGCUACAUGUGUCCAGUUUGUCAUGCUACAUAUGCUACAACACACACUUUGCGAAAUCAUUAUCUUUAUCAGCAUAAGGCUCCAAAAAAACACGUAUGUUCAACAUGUGGUAAAGGAUUUACUCGCAGAGGAGACCUUGGGAAGCAUCUUUACACUCACUUUCGAGGUUCAACUGACUAAAGUCCUUGUCAAGACUUUGAAUGCUACAGCCUCGUAUCAAGACAAUUCCAUAUCAUUCUUGAUUAUGAAUUAUUUUCAGAUAUAAAAUAAGUUUCUAAUAAAAAAACUUCAACAUUUUUAAAACAAGCUACUAGUUAUAUGUGAUGUAUUCAACUGAAAUAUUAAAGACAUUUGUGACUGAAAGAGUACUGUUUCACUUUUAUGUAUGGAUAAUUUGAUGAUUUUUAAGAGAUUUUGAUACUUGUCCUAUAGUCAAGAAUUUAUAUUCUUGUCUGUCAUAAAAUUUAAGGAAACAACUACAUCUGCAUAUAUAUGUUUCAUUAGUAUUUUAUAUAUUUGCUGAUGUUUAUUAAAGCUUUCACUUCAAAUACAAACAAAUAGUGAUAGUAAGAAUGAACAGUGUUUUCUAUAAACAUUUGAUAUUAAUAUGCUGUUAUAGUAAUAUUACUGUUGAAAACCUCUAUUCACAAAAUAUGGUAUUGAUAAUAUAGUUUAAUUUACAAUUUGAUUGUUUAAAAUCUAUUUUUUGUGUAUUAUUCUUAUCAUGAAUGUAAAUAAAUUGUGUUUAUUAUGUUAGAACAUUAAGUAACUAUUCAAAUGUGACUCUUGUGAAUACUUGUACAGUGGGAUAAAUGUUUUAUUUAUGUUGUUGAAGAAACAUAUUUCUUAACUGAGUGCUUUUAAAUUAUACUUGUCCAAGUUGUGUUGUGAAGUCUUUAUUUCUUUGACUAAGACUGAACAUUAUUAUUCCAUAGGUAGACUUGUUUUUAUGCCUAUAUCCCCAGUUAGUAUAGGUUCUAAUGUAACAAGAUUGUAUUUUUUUAUUUUAGAUUAUUUGAUGGAUCAAAACUUGUAUGGUAGUUUUACUUUGGAAGAGAGAAGAUCUUUAGAAGAAAGGAAAUAUCUCAGAGAGAGGAAAGACUGCAUAAUUGGUGCUCUGAGAUUUUCUUGUGAUGUUUGUCGUAGGACAUUUAAACGAAAAUGGAUGGUUGACAGACACAAGUAUAUGGUGCACCAAAAUGCUGCCUGGAGUUUUCGUUGUGAAAUCUGCUCUAGGCCUUUUAGUUGGAAAAUUAGUCUGGCCAAGCACAAAAGAAUUGUUCACCAAAUGAUGGAUAUAUAAACUUCAGUUAUCUCUUCAUUAAAAUUUAGCUUUUGUUGCUGUGUAGUCAAGGGUAAAAGAAGACUUUACUAAUUUUAACUCUUAUGUCUUGAAUUAGCUGCUGUAAGGGUUUACUUUCUUCAGUUUUUUAAAAGUUAAUUUUUACAUUGACUGAUGUGUAUCUUCUAAGAUUCUUAAAUCAGUGCUUCAGGAUUUUUAGUACUACUUGUGUGUAUAUGAUGAUAAA